RNAcentral lists this ribosomal RNA (726 nucleotides) under uncultured eukaryote. RNAcentral's name for it is "bacterial SSU rRNA". It matches the Rfam family "Bacterial small subunit ribosomal RNA", at positions 538 to 1271 of the family's 1533-position model. The record is from RNAcentral.
GUGUUAUUCGGAAUGAUUGGGCGUAAAGAGUCUGUAGGCCGUAUAGAAAGUCUUUUGUUAAAUGCCUCGGCUCAACCGAGAUCCAGCAAAGGAAACUUCUAUACUUGAGGGAAGUAGAGGUACAGGGAAUUCCCGGUGGAGCGGUGAAAUGCGUAGAUAUCGGGAGGAACACCAAUAUGGCGAAGGCACUGUACUGGGCUUUUCCUGACGCUGAGAGACGAAAGCUAAAGGAGUGAUUAGGAUUAGAUACCCUAGUAAUUUUAGCCGUAAACGAUGGAAACUCACUGCCGAGCGAAAUACAACGAGCGGUGGUCAAGCUAACGCGUGAAGUUUCCCGCCUGGGGAUUACGCUUGCAAAAGUGAAACUCAAAGGGAUUGACGGGGACCCGCACAAGCGGUGGAGUAUGUGGUUUAAUUCGAUGCAACACGGAGAACCUUACCAGGGUUUGAAAUCAUUUCAAAACUCCUUGAAAGAGGAGCCUCCUUCGGGAUGAAAUGACAGGUGGUGCAUGGCUGUCGUCAGCUCGUGUUGUGAAAUGUCGAGUUAAGUCUCGUAACGAGCGCAACCCAUGUCUCUUGUUGCUCACUGAGUGCUUAAGAGAGACUGCCGACCAACAUCGGAGGAAGGUGUGGAUGAUGUCAAGUCAGCAUGCCCCUUACAUCCUGGGCUACACACGUACUACAAUGGUAAGGACAAUGAGCUGCGAUCCUGCGAAGGCUAGCCAU